ACACCAGGUGGACCUGGAGAGACCCACUCUGACCUGCUCCAGCACUGCAGGGAAACCUGUCGUUUGCAAGAGGAUGUUCAGUUCACAACCACGGGGAGAUACAUGUCUGGAAGAGAAGAGCCAGCUAUCUGCCAAAGCCAUCAGCCUGCAAGCGCUCGCAGGAACUCGUGUGCUCUCCCUGCUGAUCUUGCUGGUUUAGUAAGGAAAAGCAGUCCUGGCUGCAGAGGAUGUCUGGUGCUCACAGGAGGGACAAAGCAGAUCCAAAACUGGCUAUCCUGAUUCUGUUCCCUACCUGCCACCCUGCCUGGUUCCUGAGCACAAAGGAGUUUUGGGGACUGAUGGCUUGCACAGCAAGCAACCAUGGAGUUUGUCUGAAAUUAUGUCCUCUCUGAUUUGGAUGAGCAUGUGAGGAACACAGAGAGGCAACAGAAGGGGUUAAAUCAAUAGUUACAUUUAAAUCAAUACCCUGAUUUAUGCUCCUGUCCCAGUGUUGCUGACUUUCUUUGCCCCCUGAUUUGAGGGUGCAGACCUCAGUGGCUCAUUCUGAGCCACCAUUUCUGUGGUGAACAUGGAUUUUGACAGACAUGCUGCAGGAUUGGGCUGAUUUGUUGGUUUUUUUGUUGAGAAG
This 628-nucleotide long non-coding RNA is filed under the name Parus major (Great Tit). Its description in RNAcentral is "lncRNA (ENSPMJG00000009783.1)". Lineage: Eukaryota; Metazoa; Chordata; Aves; Passeriformes; Paridae. The record is from RNAcentral.